RNA transcript from Nyctereutes procyonoides (raccoon dog), 3274 nucleotides. It is a transcript of the gene named family with sequence similarity 219 member B, with no coding region annotated. NCBI's taxonomy places the organism in Eukaryota, Metazoa, Chordata, Mammalia, Carnivora, Canidae. The record is from RefSeq and is a predicted model, not a curated record. The transcript is spliced from 6 exons.
CCUCCGUGCGGGCGCGGGCUCGGCGGCGGCGCGCAGGGCCCAGCAUGGCGAGCGCGGGCCGCAGCGGCCCGGGACCUCGGCCCGGCGGGACCGCGGGGGGCGCGGCGGGAGCCCCGGGGCCGCCCUCCGGCCGAAGCGGCGGCGGGGGUGCCCGGGCGGCGGAGCGGCCCCCGGCGGCUGUGGAGAAGAGGGGGCCGUACACGGUGACGCGCGCGCCUUCCCUUCCGGCCAGGCUGCAGAAGCCCCGGGACCUGGCCAAGGCGGUUCUGCGGACGAAAGCCGUGCUGGGGCCGCCGCCGCACCGCCCCGACUCCUCCGCGAAAAGGUCGGUGAAGUUCAACAAGGGCUACACGGCCCUUAGUCAGAGUCCAGAUGAAAACCUGGUGUCCCUCGACUCUGACAGUGAUGGGGAGCUGGAAUCCAGAUACUCCUCCGGGUAUUCCUCUGCAGAGGCAAGUCCAGAGCGCCUUUCUGCACGGGGCCAGGCUGCAGGCAGCGUCACCGCCACUGCUAAAUGCUUGUCUUGUGCCUGCUGUAUACACGGCACUAUGCCAGACUUCCGGUCUGUUCUCCAAUCUUCUACUCUGCCCUACUCCCCCAACAGAGGUAUAGGUGUCUGAGGAAAGCUGUUGAAAAUCCAGAAGACCAUAGACCCUUAGGGCUGUAAGGACCUCACAAGUCUUCUAGCCCAGGACCCUGGGAUUAUGCCCUGAACCAAAGACAGAUGCUCAACCACUGAGCCACCCAGGUGCCCCUGCUUGGGGCCUUUCCCUGCUGGGUGAGGCACAGGCACUUCCUCUUGUAGUCCAGUGAUGCAUGGAGUUGGCCUGAGGGUGGAGCAUGGAGAGGAAGCUCUGGUAAGCGAAGCAAGUGAACCAGGAUGUGAGCCGGCAGCUGCUUCAAGAUGGGUAUCACCUGGAUGAGAUUCCAGAUGAUGAGGACUUGGACCUCAUUCCUCCCAAGCCUAUGGCCUCUUCAACGUGCUCCUGCUGCUGGUGCUGUCCUGGGGACUCUUCCUCCUGUACUCUCCAGUAGACAUAACCCCCUAAGGUGGGCUCUGCUCACCAUGCCUGCAGAGCCCUGUGGACCCUUCUUAGUUCACAGAGUGCAGUGGGGACGGCCAUCAGCCCCAGAAUCACUGGAGGCACUGAUCCUCUGGGAAGAAAGUCAAUGACCUGCAGUUACGCCUUACCUGGUGCUUCUCAGCCAGAGGCCCCCAUCUGGGCCAUACGGUAAUAGGCGGGACUCUGCAGUUUUCCUCUGGUAUUAGAGCAGAGUUUGGAGAAACCACUUUAAUAAGGGCAGGCACACAGCAAUUCUGGUUCUGGUGGUGACAAGUUGGCUAAGGAAAACUUGCACAUAUCUUGACCUGUAUUUGUUCCCCUCUGUGGAGGGAGAAAGCUUUCGUGGCCAGGCUAUGCUGGACGGUGUUGUAUGGAAGCAGAAAAUAGCACUUUACGGCUUCUAGCUGGGGGUCUUUGAAAAAGAACUGAACUAUUUGGGACCAGCUUAAGAAAUUCCAUAUGCUCCCUCUUCCUGGCUCCACGAGGGGACACUCAAGAAAGCAUAAAGCAGGGCCCCUUGGCCUUCGUCCCCUUGCACCUGUUUGCCCAUGGCAGGGAGUAUGGCAGUUUGCUUGAUCACACAGCAGGAUCAGGGCUUCUAGUAAUCCCUCCACCCAGUGGAGAAAAAUUGCUCCACUAUGCACAUAUUUUAUUUAUUUAUCUUUCCUUGGUUACCAUUCUUUGCCUUGGUCUUAGGUUAUUCAACACCCAGCCUUUGAGUGUAAAGGUUGGGUGAAGGGACUGGAGCUCACCCCGAAGCCUGCAGGUUUGGGUCACCAGCAGAGGGAGCUGCAGGAAGCAGUUAGGUGCCUUCCUAUUUAGCUUUUGGAUCUUAACUAGCAAGGAGUGAGAAUUGUACUGGCUCUGCUGUGUGGGCUUUGAUGUGGACAGAGACUCACAGGCAGGAUGGGCCCCGUGCCAGCUCCCAGGGCCCCUCCCUAAGGAGAUAACCUGCCAUUGCGGAGGGUGUCCCUUCACUCCAGCAUGGGCCUCCCAAGUAAGCCUCUGGGGCAACCCAGCUCCGCCCUCAGUGUGAACAUGGCUGAGACCAGCAUAAUCUCCCCAGUGGCCAUGCCCCACCCCAGAUGGUAUCUCUCGCUAUACCAGUCCUCUCUAGAAUUGGUUUCUUUUUUUGGGGGGAGGGGGGAUCUCACCCAGAGCCAUGCUGAGGACUGUGAGAGCGGACAUGGUUCCCAGCCAAAGGGGCAUGAGGAUUGGGGGGUGGGCCCUACAUGGGAAGUGCCUGGUCUGGUGCUUUAUUUGAUGUCCCAUGGCCUCCAGAGGUGUGAAGGAUGACGUGAACUCUUGCUCUGCCACAUGAGGUGACUGGAAGGCUGAGGUGGUCAGUUAAAAAGCCCUUGUCAGAUAACUAGGAUGAUCUAUCUGCACUUGACAGGCAUCUAUCUUGGUGCUUCUGUCAAAUGCUAGGAAGUUAAGGAUGUAUGGUAUCCAGGGGCUGUGGUUGACUUCUGAUCCAGUAGCAUCACAGCAGGAGGUAGAUGGGACCGAGGCCACAGACACGGCAGGUCAGGGUCUGGGGACUAGGAGACCUAGAUGGUUUCAGGGGUGGGACUGCAGCGCCACAUGGGUGCUUCACAUGCGGAACACUUUUUGUGCAGGCCUUUCUGGUUUCUGCAUAGGUACAGAAGUACAUAGAGGGCACCACCCAGGGCAGUGUGAAGAGACUGGGGUGGUAGCAGGAAGCCCAGUGUGGUGGGGCUACAUCUGUGGGGGGGGGGGGGGAGUGGUUAGGACAACGACCUGAGCACUUAGGUGGGUGAAGGUGGCAGCAGGACCCCAAGACCAAGGCCCUCCAGAUGGUUUUACUCUAAGUCCACGCUAUCUAUUUGCCUGAGUCUGUUCCUGGAGAGGAUGUUCUAGAAGUGGUUGGUUCUGUGCGGAAGUCAUUACCUUUGUGGAGAAAGUUGGAGGCACCUGGCAGCUAGGCGGGGUAGAAAUGGUCUGUUUGGGGCCGGAGGUUCCAGGCUAAAUAAAAUGUCACCAAUAAAGGCACCAAGGUGCCUAGAGCCAAACUGCCUUAAUUCAGAGCGCCAGGUAUCCUGCAGGUGCCUGUCCUGGGGAGACCGGGGUGUAUUCGCAGUUAACCUCCGAGAGAAGCAGGUGUGUGGUGUUUACAGAGGACGCUACGGAACUCUUGGCCUAGGCUUCCACAACUCUGAAAGUUUGUACGAAUAAAUACAGUCAUGCUA